Molecule: long non-coding RNA, 1284 nt
Filed under: Pan troglodytes (chimpanzee)
Lineage: Eukaryota; Metazoa; Chordata; Mammalia; Primates; Hominidae
Description: long non-coding RNA NONPTRT015357
Source: RNAcentral
CGGCAACCUAGCAGCUAUCUUGGUCUCCCCUGAGUGCAUUUGGAACCUGGCCCAUUCACAUCAGUCUGUCAACUCCCAGCCCGUGGCAGGUGACCCUCCCCCUUGACAAGGCAUAAGCUGCAGCCCUGCCCACAGCCUCCCCUCUUUCAUUUUCUCUUUCCUCUCAGUCUAUCUUAUAUUUUUCUUCUUUGUUCUCUAUUCUUUUUAUCUUUUUCUCCCUCUCUUGCUUCCUUUUGUUCUCCAGGGUGGCCGGUGUGGGCAGCUGGUGGCUUCCAUAAACUUCAAAUCUUUUUCAAGAUCAUGCAUUCUUGCAACCGGGGAAGAAUGGCCUACAAAGCCUGGUUUGGACCACAUAUAUCCCGGAUUUCCUUGGACCGACUCAACUAUUUGUCCCAGCUCCAAGUUUCAAGAAGCCAGUCAAGACUGUCAGGAAUUCAAAGUUGACUGGGAUGGCAACCUCGGAAGCCAUGUCCUGAAGACAGCAAGGCCUCCUCAGCCUGGGUCCCUGAAUGACUGCAUGGAGGAGUGCUGCUCCUCCUCACCUGAACACUUGCAAAGGAUGGUUACAGGACAAAGAAAGAAACUUGGGUGAAGUCACUAGAUUUGGAGAUCUGUAUGUUACUGAUAUAGUUUGGAUCUGUGUCCCCGCCCAAACCUCAUAUUGAAAUGUAAUUCCCCAUGUUGGAGGUAGGGCCUGGUGGGAGGUGACUGGAUCAUGGGGGCAGAUUUCUCAGGAAUGGUUUAGCACCAUCCCCUUGGUAGCAUCCUCAGGAUAGUGAGUGAGCUCUCGUAAGAUCUGGUUAAGUGUGCGGGCCCUCCCUGUGCUCUUUUUUUUUUUUUUUUUUUGAGAUGGAGUCUCACUCUAUUGCCUAGGCUGGAGUGCAAUGGUGCUAUCUUGGCUCAUUGCAACCUCUGCCUCCCAGGUUCAACUGAUUCUCCCGCCUCAGUCUCCCCAGUAGCUGGGAUUACAGGUGCACACCACCACACUCGGCUAAUUUUUGUACUUUUAGUAGAGACAGGGUUUCACCAUGUUGGCCAGGCUGGUCUUGAACUCCUGACAUCGUGAUCCGCCCACCUCGGCCUCCCCAAGUGCUGGAUUCCAGGCGUGAGCCACUGCGCCUGGCCACCACUUUCUCUCCUGACAUGUGUCAUGCCUACCCCCUGUUCGCCUUCUGCCAUGAUUGGAGGCUUCCUGAGACCUCCUCAGAAGCAGAUGCUACUGUGCUUCCUGUAAAGCCUGCAGAACCAUCAGCCAAAUACAUUUCUUUUCUUCAUAAAUUACCC